Molecule: ribosomal RNA, 891 nt
Filed under: uncultured Alphaproteobacteria bacterium
Lineage: Bacteria; Pseudomonadati; Pseudomonadota; Alphaproteobacteria
Description: bacterial SSU rRNA
Rfam family: Bacterial small subunit ribosomal RNA
Source: RNAcentral
AGAGUUUGAUCCUGGCUCAGGACGAACGCUUGCGGCGUGCCUAAGAAAUGCAAGUCGAGCGAGGUCUAGGGUUCUGCCUAAAACCUAGCGGCGAACGGUCGCGUAACACGUAAGCAACCUGCCCUGAAUUGGGGGAUAGCCCUCCGAAAGGAGGAUUAAUACCGCAUGUGGACAGUAGAUCGGCAUGUUCUACUGUUUGAAGCAGCAAUGCGCUUCAGGAUGGGCUUGCGGCCUAUCAGCUAGUUGGUGGGGUAACGGCCUACCAAGGAGACGACAGGUAGCUGGUCUGAGAGGAUGAUCAACCACACUGGGACUGACACACGGCCCAGACUCCUACGGGAGGCAGCAGUAGGGAAUCUUGCGCAAUGGGCGAAAGCCUGACGCAUCCAUGCCGCGUGAAUGAUGAAGGUCUUAGGAUUGUAAAAUUCUUUCAGCGGGGACGAUAAUGACCGUACCCGCAGAAGAAGCCCCGGCUAACUUCGUGCCAGCACCCGCGGUAAUACAAGGGGGCUAGCGUUGCUCGGAAUUACUGGGCGUAAAGGGCGCGUAGGCGGAUGUCUUAGUCAGAGGUGAAAGCCCAGGUCUUAACCUUGGAACUGCCUUUGAUACUGGACAUCUUGAGUACGGGAGAGGUGAGUGGAACUCCGAGUGUAGAGGUAAAAUUUGUAGAUAUUCGGAAGAACACCAGUGGAGAAGGCGACUCACUGGCCCGUUACUGACUCUGAGGCGCGAAAGCGUGGGGAGCAAACAGGGUUAGAUACCCUGGUAGUCCACGCUGUAAACGAUGAGUGCUAAUUGUCGGCAUGCAAGCAUGUCGGUGCCGCAGCUAACGCAUUAAGCACUCCGCCUGGGGAGUACGGUCGCAAGAUUAAAACUCAAAGGAAUUGACGG